This 1423-nucleotide ribosomal RNA is filed under the name Pediococcus acidilactici. Its description in RNAcentral is "bacterial SSU rRNA". It matches the Rfam family "Bacterial small subunit ribosomal RNA". Lineage: Bacteria; Bacillati; Bacillota; Bacilli; Lactobacillales; Lactobacillaceae. The record is from RNAcentral.
GCAGUCGAACGAACUUCCGUUAAUUGAUUAUGACGUGCUUGCACUGAAUGAGAUUUUAACACGAAGUGAGUGGCGGACGGGUGAGUAACACGUGGGUAACCUGCCCAGAAGCAGGGGAUAACACCUGGAAACAGAUGCUAAUACCGUAUAACAGAGAAAACCGCCUGGUUUUCUUUUAAAAGAUGGCUCUGCUAUCACUUCUGGAUGGACCCGCGGCGCAUUAGCUAGUUGGUGAGGUAACGGCUCACCAAGGCGAUGAUGCGUAGCCGACCUGAGAGGGUAAUCGGCCACAUUGGGACUGAGACACGGCCCAGACUCCUACGGGAGGCAGCAGUAGGGAAUCUUCCACAAUGGACGCAAGUCUGAUGGAGCAACGCCGCGUGAGUGAAGAAGGGUUUCGGCUCGUAAAGCUCUGUUGUUAAAGAAGAACGUGGGUGAGAGUAACUGUUCACCCAGUGACGGUAUUUAACCAGAAAGCCACGGCUAACUACGUGCCAGCAGCCGCGGUAAUACGUAGGUGGCAAGCGUUAUCCGGAUUUAUUGGGCGUAAAGCGAGCGCAGGCGGUCUUUUAAGUCUAAUGUGAAAGCCUUCGGCUCAACCGAAGAAGUGCAUUGGAAACUGGGAGACUUGAGUGCAGAAGAGGACAGUGGAACUCCAUGUGUAGCGGUGAAAUGCGUAGAUAUAUGGAAGAACACCAGUGGCGAAGGCGGCUGUCUGGUCUGUAACUGACGCUGAGGCUCGAAAGCAUGGGUAGCGAACAGGAUUAGAUACCCUGGUAGUCCAUGCCGUAAACGAUGAUUACUAAGUGUUGGAGGGUUUCCGCCCUUCAGUGCUGCAGCUAACGCAUUAAGUAAUCCGCCUGGGGAGUACGACCGCAAGGUUGAAACUCAAAAGAAUUGACGGGGGCCCGCACAAGCGGUGGAGCAUGUGGUUUAAUUCGAAGCUACGCGAAGAACCUUACCAGGUCUUGACAUCUUCUGCCAACCUAAGAGAUUAGGCGUUCCCUUCGGGGACAGAAUGACAGGUGGUGCAUGGUUGUCGUCAGCUCGUGUCGUGAGAUGUUGGGUUAAGUCCCGCAACGAGCGCAACCCUUAUUACUAGUUGCCAGCAUUCAGUUGGGCACUCUAGUGAGACUGCCGGUGACAAACCGGAGGAAGGUGGGGACGACGUCAAAUCAUCAUGCCCCUUAUGACCUGGGCUACACACGUGCUACAAUGGAUGGUACAACGAGUCGCGAAACCGCGAGGUUUAGCUAAUCUCUUAAAACCAUUCUCAGUUCGGACUGUAGGCUGCAACUCGCCUACACGAAGUCGGAAUCGCUAGUAAUCGCGGAUCAGCAUGCCGCGGUGAAUACGUUCCCGGGCCUUGUACACACCGCCCGUCACACCAUGAGAGUUUGUAACACCCAAAGCCGGUGGGGUA